GGUUAAUCUGACAACAGCACCCACUUCACAGACCUUUGUGUAAACAAAGAACUGUGUGUAGCCAACGCUAACUCUUCAGCCGCACAGGCAUUUAAGCUAAGCCCUUUACCUCAACUGCUAGCUGUUAGCAUCUGACUAACACUUAGAUAGGUGUGAUAAGAAAGUUA
Molecule: long non-coding RNA, 167 nt
Organism: Sinocyclocheilus anshuiensis
Lineage: Eukaryota; Metazoa; Chordata; Actinopteri; Cypriniformes; Cyprinidae
Exons: 3
Source: RefSeq, a predicted model, not a curated record